ACUCAAAGGAAUAGACGGGGGCUCACACAAGCGGUGGAGCAUGUUGUUUAAUUCGAAGCAACGCGAAGAACCUUACCUGGGUUUGAAAUGCAGGGAUUAUUCCUAUGAAAGUAGGAGGAUUGCUAGCAAUAGUGUAACCUGCACAGGUGCUGCAUGGCUGUCGUCAGCUCGUGCCGUGAGGCGUCGGGUUAAGUCCCUUAACGAGCGAAACCCCUAUCGUAUGUUGCUACCAGGUUAUGCUGGGCACUCUUGCGAGACUGCCGGUGUCAAACCGGAGGAAGGCGGGGACGACGUCAAGUCAUCAUGGUCCUUACAUCCAGGGCUACAAACGUGCUACAAUGGCCGGUACAGAGAGACGCAAUACCGUGAGGUGGAGCAAAUCUUCAAAGCCGGCCCCAGUUCAGAUUGAAGGCUGCAAUUCGCCUUCAUGAAGUUGGAAUCGCUAGUAAUCGCGGAUCAGCCACGCCGCGGUGAAUCCGUUCCUGAGCCUUGCACACACCGCCCGU
RNAcentral lists this ribosomal RNA (506 nucleotides) under uncultured bacterium. RNAcentral's name for it is "bacterial SSU rRNA". It matches the Rfam family "Bacterial small subunit ribosomal RNA", at positions 899 to 1397 of the family's 1533-position model. The record is from RNAcentral.